Molecule: ribosomal RNA, 469 nt
Filed under: uncultured Moraxella sp.
Lineage: Bacteria; Pseudomonadati; Pseudomonadota; Gammaproteobacteria; Moraxellales; Moraxellaceae
Description: bacterial SSU rRNA
Rfam family: Bacterial small subunit ribosomal RNA
Source: RNAcentral
AGUCGAACGAUGACUCUCUAGCUUGCUAGAGAUGAUUAGUGGCGGACGGGUGAGUAACAUUUAGGAAUCUGCCUAGUAGUGGGGGAUAGCUCGGGGAAACUCGAAUUAAUACCGCAUACGACCUACGGGUGAAAGGGGGCGCAAGCUCUUGCUAUUAGAUGAGCCUAAAUCAGAUUAGCUAGUUGGUGGGGUAAAGGCCCACCAAGGCGACGAUCUGUAACUGGUCUGAGAGGAUGAUCAGUCACACCGGAACUGAGACACGGUCCGGACUCCUACGGGAGGCAGCAGUGGGGAAUAUUGGACAAUGGGGGCAACCCUGAUCCAGCCAUGCCGCGUGUGUGAAGAAGGCCUUUUGGUUGUAAAGCACUUUAAGCAGGGAGGAGAGGCUAAUGGUUAAUACCCAUUAGAUUAGACGUUACCUGCAGAAUAAGCACCGGCUAACUCUGUGCCAGCAGCCCGGGGUAAUACA